UGUCUCCUCCAGUUUUCUCAGAAGAUUGGAUUGCCGCCCGCACCGUCAAGGUAGCGGGCGUUUUUUU
RNAcentral lists this non-coding RNA (67 nucleotides) under Massilia violaceinigra. Its description in RNAcentral is "Betaproteobacteria toxic small RNA". It matches the Rfam family "Betaproteobacteria toxic small RNA". Rfam says of the family: Overexpression in amino aid rich medium attenuates growth, suggesting role in repressing amino acid intake and metabolism. Lineage: Bacteria; Pseudomonadati; Pseudomonadota; Betaproteobacteria; Burkholderiales; Oxalobacteraceae. The record is from Rfam by way of RNAcentral.